GUUUCAUCUGUGAAACACACACACAAUUCAGGUAGAAUAUUAAUGACUGACAGUCAUUCACUUCCAUUGCAUCUUAUGCCAUUCAAUGAAAGCUGAAUGGAGACUGGGACUGUCAUUCUGCCUGUCAUCUCAUGUCGUGUUUCACAGCAAAAAGAAACUCAUACAGGUUUCCAACAAAAUGAGGGCGAGUCAAUAAUGACGACAUUUAAUUUUUUUGUGCCAUCCUACUGAAAUACAGGCGCGCGCGAUCGCUCAGGUGCUUCCUGGUGCUUUAUUGCGGGAUCACAGGCAGGGGAACCGAAACGCUCAGCAGCGCUUCCAGGAAGCGUCGCCGGGGAGCACGCGCGUCGACAGACCGAGGAAUGCAGCAGGGUCUGCGACUCUCCAUCAGGUAGCCGCGAAACUAGAAGGUUCGCAGGCAGCGCGCGUGGCUCGGAGUGCGCGACGGUGUUUUUAUUUUCCCGCCGUCGGCGCGAGCUGCUGCUGACGCGAUGCUUUAGCCAUGGACAGCAGGAUAAACGAGAAUCCUGCGAGAACGUUUGAUUUGGCACUUCAGGUUGCAUGUCCAUCAUCUGAACAUGACGAGGUGAGGAGCAGGUGGUUCACAGAAGCAGCUGUUGCUCUGACCAAAAAAGGAAAAUAUUACCGGUCCAGCCGCUGCUGUGAAAGUUGAAAUAAGCUAUAACCCACUUCCCUCAUCAUCAUAUGUCGGUGUUCAUCUCAUUUCCUGACCCCGACUCUCAGGAUUACAGCUUCAUUUAACCCUCAUGUUAUGUUCCCGUCAUUUUGACCCAGAGGGGAUUUUCUUUUUUUUUUUAGAAAAUGCUAGUUAAUGUUAUGGCAUUGAACUAAAACCUACUGACUCUGCUCACACAGGGUAUAACAACUUCCAAAAAAAAGUGAUAGUUUUUCUACUUUUUCUGGAUUUUUUUUUUACCACCUUGUUUUCCAAUUCAUAUAUGUCCG
Molecule: long non-coding RNA, 966 nt
Filed under: Sinocyclocheilus grahami
Lineage: Eukaryota; Metazoa; Chordata; Actinopteri; Cypriniformes; Cyprinidae
Description: lncRNA (ENSSGRG00000032905.1)
Source: RNAcentral